AGACAGCAGAAGAGACUGUCAGCAGACCACCUUGGAGGGGAUGCUUGGAGCUGCCUAACGUGUGAUUCAAAGAUGAAUUCCAUGUGUUUGGAGAAGAAGCCCUAGCCUCAACACAAAGGUUGGCCACAUUCCAGCCAAGGUAGCACGGAGUGAAGGCCCGUGGAGGGAGAGCUGGGCUUUUCUGAACUACUUCAGUACACCUUGCUGUGCCUUGGCCUGCCGUGUUUCAUCCCCAUGGCUGUCCUCAGUGAUGUGCAUGGUCACUGCUCCCUUCACCACUGAGAAGACGGGCACAGGACAGUCAGGGGAUGUGUCCAAGGUCCCACAGCAGGAAGGGCUGGAGCCAGAAUGUGGUCUGAGAGGCUGGAUAUACAAAGAGACAAUGGCAUGACCAUCUGUACAAAUGGAACUAUGGCCCACAACCUGCAGCAGCCAGCCCAGGAAGCCAACCCGUCACCUGCAGCAGCCAGGAUGGAUGCUGGCCUGCCCUCACUGAUACUCAAGUCUAGUUUUAUAUGGCUCCAAACGCCUCCACCAUGAGCUCAAGGCAGUGAGACUGACUGAAAAACCCUCUCUAUUACAGACCACAACAUUGAACCCAACAUCCCCCUAAGUAGGUUGUACUCACAUCAUUGGUCUUAUGGGGAAAUUUUAAGACCUCCCACUUGUAAGGUUUUAUAGCCCUCUAUGGAAUAUUGAAGAAAGAGUAAAAUGCAUCCAAAAAAAAAAAAAAACACUAAACUGGAUAAAUUCUAAGGCCUCUUCAGGUCUUAAGAUGGCCAUUUUCUAGGUCCUCUUGCUGCAGCAGUGAAAUCCACAAACACGGACAAGUCAGUCAGUUACGUGCCUUUCAGAGAAAACUUCUGACUUAGGAAUUCCAGCUAUUUGGCCCAACCCAUAUUAGAUUGUGUUAUAAAGACAUGGUAAAUUACAUCACGAAGGGAAGAGCAGAGGAAACAUAAUAUUCCUUCAAGACCCAUCAGCUCAGAUGUUAGCAGAACACCCCUAAGGAGGAAAACAAGAAAUUUUGGGUUUGAACUUGGUACUUCCCAGCAGCCCUGGGAGUGGGGUCAGAAGCCC
This 1080-nucleotide long non-coding RNA is filed under the name Homo sapiens (human). RNAcentral's name for it is "non-protein coding LINC01304:8". The record is from RNAcentral. Lineage: Eukaryota; Metazoa; Chordata; Mammalia; Primates; Hominidae.